This 811-nucleotide ribosomal RNA is filed under the name Paracoccidioides brasiliensis. RNAcentral's name for it is "eukaryotic LSU rRNA". It matches the Rfam family "Eukaryotic large subunit ribosomal RNA", at positions 85 to 912 of the family's 3401-position model. Lineage: Eukaryota; Fungi; Ascomycota; Eurotiomycetes; Onygenales; Ajellomycetaceae. The record is from RNAcentral.
AACGGCGAGUGAAGCGGCAAGAGCUCAAAUUUGAAAUCUGGCUCCUUCGGGGCCCGAGUUGUAAUUUGUAGAGGAUGCUUCGGGCGUGGCCGCGGUCUAAGUCCCCUGGAACGGGGCGUCGCAGAGGGUGAGAAUCCCGUCUUCGGCCGGCCGGCCCCGCCCGUGUGAAGCUCCUUCGACGAGUCGAGUUGUUUGGGAAUGCAGCUCUAAAUGGGUGGUAAAUUUCAUCUAAAGCUAAAUACUGGUCGGAGACCGAUAGCGCACAAGUAGAGUGAUCGAAAGAUGAAAAGCACUUUGAAAAGAGAGUUAAACAGCAUGUGAAAUUGUUGAAAGGGAAGCGCUUGCGACCAGAGUCGGCCGCGGGGGCUCAGCGGGCACUCGUUGCCCGUGCACUCCCCCGUGGUCGGGCCAGCGUCGGUUUCGACGGCCGGUCAAAGGCCCCCGGAAUGUGUCGCCUCUCGGGGCGUCUUAUAGCCGGGGGUGCAAUGCGGCCAGUCGGGACCGAGGAACGCGCUCCGGCACGGACGCUGGCUUAAUGGUCGUAAGCGACCCGUCUUGAAACACGGACCAAGGAGUCUAACAUCCACGCGAGUGUUCGGGUGUCAAACCCGUCCGCGCAGUGAAAGCGAACGGAGGUGGGAACCCUCAAGGGUGCACCAUCGACCGAUCCUGAAGUCUUCGGAUGGAUUUGAGUAAGAGCGUGGCUGUUGGGACCCGAAAGAUGGUGAACUAUGCCUGAAUAGGGUGAAGCCAGAGGAAACUCUGGUGGAGGCUCGCAGCGGUUCUGACGUGCAAAUCGAUCGUCAAAUUU